AGCUCCGUAGUUCAAUGCAUAGAACAAUGCUGUACGAAGGCAUAGGUUACAGGUUGGAAUCCUGUCGGAGCUACAA
This 76-nucleotide transfer RNA is filed under the name Flagellimonas pelagia. RNAcentral describes it as "Muricauda sp. 72 tRNA-Arg". It matches the Rfam family "tRNA". From Rfam's summary of the family: Transfer RNA (tRNA) molecules are approximately 80 nucleotides in length. Their secondary structure includes four short double-helical elements and three loops (D, anti-codon, and T loops). Lineage: Bacteria; Pseudomonadati; Bacteroidota; Flavobacteriia; Flavobacteriales; Flavobacteriaceae. The record is from RNAcentral.